Molecule: ribosomal RNA, 48 nt
Filed under: Paradiscogaster oxleyi
Lineage: Eukaryota; Metazoa; Platyhelminthes; Trematoda; Plagiorchiida; Zoogonidae
Description: partial 5.8S ribosomal RNA
Source: RNAcentral
GGAGCGCUUCAGUUCCGUCAGCCUAUGGCCACGUCUGUCCGAGGGUCG